This 313-nucleotide ribosomal RNA is filed under the name uncultured Glomus. RNAcentral describes it as "SSU rRNA". It matches the Rfam family "Eukaryotic small subunit ribosomal RNA", at positions 569 to 886 of the family's 1831-position model. The record is from RNAcentral. Lineage: Eukaryota; Fungi; Glomeromycota; Glomeromycetes; Glomerales; Glomeraceae.
AGCAGCCGCGGUAAUUCCAGCUCCAAUAGCGUAUAUUAAAGUUGUUGCAGUUAAAAAGCUCGUAGUUGAAUUUCGGGAUCAGUGGGUCGGUCGUGCCACUGGUAUGUACUGGCCCUACUGGUUCCUCCUUCUUGAGGAACUGUGAUGCCAUUAAUUUGGUGUUGCAGGGAAACAGGACUGUUACUUUGAAAAAAUUAGAGUGUUUAAAGCAGGCAAUCGCUUGAAUACAUUAGCAUGGAAUAAUGAAAUAGGACGUUCGACCCUAUUUUGUUGGUUUCUAGGAUUGACGUAAUGAUUAAUAGGGAUAGUUGGG